UACGUAGGGUGCGAGCGUUUAUCGGAAUUACUGGGCGUAAAGCGUGCGCAGGCGGUUCGUCGUGUCCGAUGUGAAAGCCCCGGGCUCAACCUGGGAAUGGCAUUGGAAACUGGCGGACUCGAGUGUGGCAGAGGGGGGUGGAAUUCCGCGUGUAGCGGUGAAAUGCGUAGAGAUGCGGAGGAACACCGAUGGCGAAGGCAGCCCCCUGGGCUAACACUGACGCUCAGGCACGAAAGCGUGGGGAGCAAACAGG
RNAcentral lists this ribosomal RNA (253 nucleotides) under uncultured bacterium. RNAcentral describes it as "partial 16S ribosomal RNA". It matches the Rfam family "Bacterial small subunit ribosomal RNA", at positions 524 to 776 of the family's 1533-position model. The record is from RNAcentral.